RNAcentral lists this long non-coding RNA (907 nucleotides) under Hordeum vulgare. Its description in RNAcentral is "long non-coding RNA (HVUL_LNC020230)". The record is from RNAcentral. Lineage: Eukaryota; Viridiplantae; Streptophyta; Magnoliopsida; Poales; Poaceae.
GCCAGCCUCCGGUUCUGGUAUGCAAAAGUCCAACUUCCCUAUGCAAUACUACCACUACAUUUUAGCUGUUGCAUAUCCUUGUCUAGGGUCUCGUCACCCGGCUUUGGAAGCUGGUGUUGAAUACUGCGCCGUGCCCGUAUAAUAAUCCACCAGCUACGUAUAUCUGUCUGUUAUAUCUAUCUAUUGCAUAUCUAAUACUGUAUCUUUCUGGUCCGAUGGUACGACCCUAAUUAACUACAACUAUCAACAACUUACGGUGGCGUAGAUGUCAAUCCUGCUCGGUAUUUGCAUGUCGCCGGCGAAAAUCGACGGCCAUUGACUUGACAGCCGUUGAUAAGUUCUCACCGGAAUGAGAAAAUUAUUUACUGGAAAAGGAGUAUUUUUUUCGUCUGUUCGUUUCAAAAAAAUUCUGCCCCUUACGCGUGUCGCCUGUUCGGCGAGCAGGCGGCUCCGGUGAUUCAUUCGUUAUCAUCGAACAGGGAAAGAAAGAAAGGCGGGCGUCGCCGUCGUCGACGCAUGAAAGGAACCGAUGCUCAAGAUUCCAGCGUCUGCAAGGCGCUUCUUCUCGAUCUUCCUUUUCCCCGCAGUAGUAGUGGUAGGUACAUGGGGAGAGCACUUGGAGCUUAUCUUUGGGAUGGAGCGCGCAUACUCUGAUGAUAACAUAAAGCAAUCAAUGAUUAACGUCGUCGUCGUCGUUGAUGCGUAUGGGUGCUUGGUUUGAUUGAGGAGCAAAGUGGGAGGCUCAGCUCAAAGGCGAAUAAUGGCGAGAUUUGGUGCCAGGCGCGCACUUGUUCGCGGAUUCUGGGGCCGUCUUUGCGUUCAUGUACCUCGUGAUCUUCUUUUGCAGAUCAUGUUGCUUCUUCUGUAUGCCGUAUAACUCCAACAUCUUCUCCUUGCUGUCUGUUCA